This 432-nucleotide ribosomal RNA is filed under the name uncultured bacterium. Its description in RNAcentral is "bacterial SSU rRNA". It matches the Rfam family "Bacterial small subunit ribosomal RNA", at positions 8 to 438 of the family's 1533-position model. The record is from RNAcentral.
AGAGUUUGAUCAUGGCUCAGAUUGAACGCUGGCGGCAGGCUUAACACAUGCAAGUCGAACGGUAACAGAACUAGCUUGCUAGUUGCUGACGAGUGGCGGACGGGUGAGUAACGCGUAGGAAUCUACCGAAUAGUGGGGGACAACAGUUGGAAACGGCUGCUAAUACCGCAUACGCCCUACGGGGGAAAGGAGGGGAUCUUCGGACCUUUCGCUAUUUGAUGAGCCUGCGUGAGAUUAGUUAGUUGGUGGGGUAAUGGCUCACCAAGGCGACGAUCUCUAGCUGGUCUGAGAGGAUGAUCAGCCACACUGGGACUGAGACACGGCCCAGACUCCUACGGGAGGCAGCAGUGGGGAAUAUUGCACAAUGGGGGAAACCCUGAUGCAGCCAUGCCGCGUGUGUGAAGAAGGCCUUCGGGUUGUAAAGCACUUUCA